This 585-nucleotide ribosomal RNA is filed under the name uncultured bacterium. Its description in RNAcentral is "partial 16S ribosomal RNA". It matches the Rfam family "Bacterial small subunit ribosomal RNA", at positions 355 to 1375 of the family's 1533-position model. The record is from RNAcentral.
UGGGGAAUUUUGGACAAUGGGGGAAACCCUGAUCCAGCCAUCCCGCGUGUGCGAUGAAGGCCUUCGGGUUGUAAAGCACUUUUGGCAGGAAAGAAACGUCGCGGGUUAAUACCCCGCGAAACUGACGGUACCUGCAGAAUAAGCACCGGCUAACUACGUGCCAGCAGCCGCGGUAAUACGUAGGGUGCAAGCGUUAAUCGGAAUUACUGGGCGUAAAGCGUGCGCAGGCGGUUCGGAAAGAAAGAUGUGAAAUCCCAGAGCUUAACUUUGGAACUGCAUUUUUAACUACCGGGCUAGAGUGUGUCAGAGGGAGGUGGAAUUCCGCGUGUAGCAGUGAAAUGCGUAGAUAUGCGGAGGAACGCCGAUGGCGAAGGCAGCCUCCUGGGAUAACACUGACGCUCAUGCACGAAAGCGUGGGGAGCAAACAGGAUUAGAUACCCUGGUAGUCCACGCCCUAAACGAUGUCAACUAGCUGUUGGGGCCUUCGGGCCUUGGUAGCGCAGCUAACGCGUGAAGUUGACCGCCUGGGGAGUACGGUCGCAAGAUUAAAACUUAAAUGAAUUGACGGGGUCAUAGCUGUUUCCU